UGCUACUCACCUUCGUGUGAGCGAUGCUUCUCGAUCCUGUAUAAGUGGUUCAUCGGAUGAAAUCCGACGGUCGACCAGGUUGACUUGCUUAAAGUGCAUAAUCGCGUGUCAUGCGACUUAAAUGCAUUUUAGUCAGGUUAAUUUGGGCAGUUCCGCCACACUAAGUUAAUUCGAGCGGUUCCGCCAUAGCUGGUACCAAAGCAGGUUAGCAGGACAGAGAAGACAAUAGAUCCUAA
Molecule: long non-coding RNA, 236 nt
Filed under: Setaria italica (foxtail millet)
Lineage: Eukaryota; Viridiplantae; Streptophyta; Magnoliopsida; Poales; Poaceae
Description: long non-coding RNA (SITA_LNC006819)
Source: RNAcentral